This 125-nucleotide small RNA is filed under the name Marmota monax (woodchuck). The record is from RNAcentral. Lineage: Eukaryota; Metazoa; Chordata; Mammalia; Rodentia; Sciuridae.
GCUGGGAGCAGUGGCACAUGCCUGUAAUCCCAACAUCUUGGGAGGCUGAGGCAGGAGGAUAGCAAGUUCAAAGCCAGCCUCAGUGAAUUAGCAAGGCCCAAAGCAAUUGUGAGACCCUGUCUCAC